Molecule: unclassified non-coding RNA, 243 nt
Filed under: plant metagenome
Description: partial contains small subunit ribosomal RNA, internal transcribed spacer 1, and 5.8S ribosomal RNA
Rfam family: 5.8S ribosomal RNA (bases 195-243)
Source: RNAcentral
UCUCCGUUGGUGAACCAGCGGAGGGAUCAUUACCGAGUUAUCAACUCCCAAACCCCUGUGAACAUACCUGAACGUUGCUUCGGCGGGACCGCCCCGGCGCCCUCGGCGUCCCGGAACCAGGCGCCCGCCGGAGGACCCAAACUCUUGUUUAAUUAUAGUGGCAUAUUCUGAGUCUCACAAGAUAAAUGAAUCAAAACUUUCAACAACGGAUCUCUUGGCUCUGGCAUUGAUGAAGAACGCAGC